Molecule: ribosomal RNA, 253 nt
Filed under: uncultured bacterium
Lineage: Bacteria
Description: partial 16S ribosomal RNA
Rfam family: Bacterial small subunit ribosomal RNA
Source: RNAcentral
UACGUAGGCAGCGAGCGUUGUUCGGCAUUACUGGGCGUAAAGCGUGUGUAGGCGGUUCCUCAAGUCUGUCGUGAAAUCUCCCGGCUCAACUGGGAGGGUGCGGCGGAAACUAGAGUGCUCGAGUGUGGGAGAGGUAAGCGGAAUUCCUGGUGUAGCGGUGAAAUGCGUAGAUAUCAGGAGGAACACCUGCGGUGUAGACAGCUUACUGGACCACGACUGACGCUGAGACACGAAAGCGUGGGUAGCAAACAGG